AACAGGAUUAGAUACCCUGGUAGUCCACGCCGUAAACGAUGGAUACUAGCUGUUGGAGGUAUCGACCCCUUCAGUAGCGAAGCUAACGCGUUAAGUAUCCCGCCUGUGGAGUACGGUCGCAAGACUAAAACAUAAAGGAAUUGACGGGGACCCGCACAAGCGGUGGAGCGUGUUCUUUAAUUCGAUGAUAAACGAAGAACCUUACCAGGGCUUGACAUCCCGAGAACUACUCCGAAAGGAGUGGGUGCUUUAUUGAACUCGGUGACAGGUGCUGCAUGGCCGUCGUCAGCUCGUGUCGUGAGAUGUUUGGUUAAGUCCAUUAACGAGCGCAACCCUAUGAAUAGUUGGAUUUUUCUAUUCAGACUGCCCCGGCAACGGGGAGGAAGGAGGGGAUGAUGUCAGGUCAGUAUUGCCCUUACGUCCUGGGCUAGAAACGCGCUACAAUGGCCGGUACAAUGCGCAGCAAAGCGGUGACGUGGAGCAAAUCGCAUCAAAGCCGGUCCCAGUUCGGAUAGCAGGCUGAAACUCGCCUGCUUGAAGCCGGAAUCGCUAGUAAUCGCAGGUCAGCAAACUGCGGUGAAUACGUUCCCGGGUCUUGUACACACCGCCCGUCAAACCAUGAAAGUCACCGACACCCGAAGUCCAGUACGUCUGGCCUAAGGUGGGGGGGAUGAUUGGGGUUAAGUCGUAACAAGGUAACCAAUCACUAGU
Molecule: ribosomal RNA, 711 nt
Filed under: uncultured bacterium
Lineage: Bacteria
Description: bacterial SSU rRNA
Rfam family: Bacterial small subunit ribosomal RNA
Source: RNAcentral